AUUGAACGCUGGCGGAAUGCUUUACACAUGCAAGUCGAACGGUAGAGGGGGCAACCCCUCGAGAGUGGCGAACGGGUGAGUAAUAUAUCGGAACGUGCCCAGUCGUGGGGGUUAACGUAGCGAAAGUUGCGCUAAUACCGCAUACGAUCUAAGGAUGAAAGCGGGGGAUCGCAAGACCUCGCGCGAUUGGAGCGGCCGAUAUCAGAUUAGGUAGUUGGUGGGGUAAAGGCUCACCAAGCCAACGAUCUGUAGCUGGUCUGAGAGGACGACCAGCCACACUGGAACUGAGACACGGUCCAGACUCCUACGGGAGGCAGCAGUGGGGAAUUUUGGACAAUGGACGCAAGUCUGAUCCAGCCAUUCCGCGUGCAGGAUGAAGGCCCUCGGGUUGUAAACUGCUUUUGUACGGAACGAAAAGGUCUCUCUUAAUACGGGGGACUCAUGACGGUACCGUAAGAAUAAGCACCGGCUAACUACGUGCCAGCAGCCGCGGUAA
Molecule: ribosomal RNA, 496 nt
Filed under: uncultured bacterium
Lineage: Bacteria
Description: partial 16S ribosomal RNA
Rfam family: Bacterial small subunit ribosomal RNA
Source: RNAcentral